This 367-nucleotide ribosomal RNA is filed under the name uncultured bacterium. RNAcentral's name for it is "bacterial SSU rRNA". It matches the Rfam family "Bacterial small subunit ribosomal RNA", at positions 527 to 896 of the family's 1533-position model. The record is from RNAcentral.
GUAGGGUGCAAGCGUUGUCCGGAAUUACUGGGUGUAAAGGGUCCGCAGGCGGGCAAGCAAGUCGGUGGUGAAAGCUCUCCGCUCAACGGGGAGACUGCCGUCGAUACUGCUUGUCUUGAGUUCGAGAGAGGAUGAUGGAAUUCAUGGUGUAGCGGUGAAAUGCGUAGAGAUCAUGAAGAACACCGGUAGCGAAGGCGGUCAUCUGGCUCGAUACUGACGCUCAGGGACGAAAGCGUGGGUAGCAAACAGGAUUAGAUACCCUGGUAGUCCACGCCUUAAACGAUGGAUAUUCGGUGUCGGUCCGCAAGGAUCGGUGCCUGAGCCAACGCGUUAAAUAUCCCACCUGGGGAGUACGAUCGCAAGGUUG